This 314-nucleotide ribosomal RNA is filed under the name uncultured bacterium. RNAcentral describes it as "partial 16S ribosomal RNA". It matches the Rfam family "Bacterial small subunit ribosomal RNA", at positions 499 to 807 of the family's 1533-position model. The record is from RNAcentral.
GUAUAAGAGACAGCAGCAGCCGCGGUAAUACGUAGGUGGCAAGCGUUGUCCGGAGUUAUUGGGCGUAAAGGGCUCGCAGGCGGUUUCUUAAGUAUGAUGUGAAAGCCCCCGGCUCAACCGGGGAGGGUCAUUGGAAACUGGGAAACUUGAGUGCAGAAGAGGAGAGUGGAAUUCCACGUGUAGCGGUGAAAUGCGUAGAGAUGUGGAGGAACACCAGUGGCGAAGGCGACUCUCUGGUCUGUAACUGACGCUGAGGAGCGAAAGCGUGGGGAGCGAACAGGAUUAGAUACCCCUGUAGUCCCUGUCUCUUAUAC